This 633-nucleotide non-coding RNA is filed under the name Solanum tuberosum (potato). RNAcentral describes it as "Eukaryotic large subunit ribosomal RNA". It matches the Rfam family "Eukaryotic large subunit ribosomal RNA", at positions 27 to 664 of the family's 3401-position model. The record is from Rfam by way of RNAcentral. Lineage: Eukaryota; Viridiplantae; Streptophyta; Magnoliopsida; Solanales; Solanaceae.
ACUACUCCGCAAAUCAAUAAGUGGAGGAAAAGAAACUUACAAGGAUUCCCUUAGUAACGGCGAGUGAACCGGGAACAGCCCAGCCUUAGAAUCGGGCGGCUCCGUCGUCUAAAUUGUAGUCUGGAGAAGCGUCCUUAGCGGCAGACCGGGCCCAAGUCUCCUGAAAGGGGGCGCCAGAGAUGCUGAGAGCCCCAUUGUGCCCGGACCCUAUCGCACCACGAGGCGCUGUCUACAAGUCGAGUUGUUUGGGAAGGCAACCCAAAUCGGGGGGUGAAUUCCGUCCAAGGUUAAAUACGGGGGAAAGACCGAUGGCAAACAAGUACUGCGAGAGAAAGAUGAAAAGUACUUUGAAAAGAGAGUCAAAGAGUGCUUGAAAUUGCCGGGUGGGAAGCGGAUGGGGGCCGGCAAUGUGCCCCGGUCGGAUGUGGAACGGUGAAGAGGUUGUCCGUCGAUAGACUCGGGGAGUGGACCAGCAUGGAUUGGGGGGUAGACCAAAGCCCGGGCUCUCGAUAUGCCCUGGGAACGCGGUUUCCUUGAUUAUGGUAGGCAGCGCACGCCUCUAGCGUGAUUCGGCAAAUGCGCGCUCUGGACGCUGGCCUGUGGGCUCCCCAUUCUACCCAUCUUGAAACACUG